This 433-nucleotide ribosomal RNA is filed under the name uncultured bacterium. Its description in RNAcentral is "partial 16S ribosomal RNA". It matches the Rfam family "Bacterial small subunit ribosomal RNA", at positions 29 to 507 of the family's 1533-position model. The record is from RNAcentral.
AACGAACGCUGGCGGCAUGCCUAACACAUGCGAGUCGAACGAGACCUUCGGGUCUAGUGGCGCACGGGUGCGUAACGCGGGGGAACCUGCCCUUAGGUUCGGAAUAACUCCCCGAAAGGGGUGCUAAUACCGGAGAAUGUCUUCGGACCAAAGAUUUAGCGCCUUUGGAUGGGCCCGCGUUGGAUUCGCUAGUUGGUAGGGUAAAAGCCUACCAAGGCGACGAUCCAUAGCUGGUCUGAGAGGAUGAUCAGCCACACUGGGACUGAGACACGGCCCAGACUCCUACGGGAGGCAGCAGUGGGGAAUAUUGGACAAUGGGCGAAGUCCUGAUCCAGCACUGCCGCGUGAGUGAUGAAGGCCUUAGGGUUGUAAAGCUCUUUUACCCGGGAUGAUAAUGACAGUACCGGGAGAAUAAGCUCCGGCUAACUCCGUG